Homo sapiens (human) is the source of this 629-nucleotide long non-coding RNA. The record is from Ensembl. Lineage: Eukaryota; Metazoa; Chordata; Mammalia; Primates; Hominidae.
AUACGGCCAAUCAGACAUCAAACUCAAUUUCAAAAAUCCUGAAUUUCUUUAGGCUUCUCAGAUGCUUGAGAGUUUAUAAAAGUCCUCAAUGCCCUAGCUUUUGGAUACUGCGACAGGACUGGGGUGGGAAGAAAAGUCGGGAAAAUCCCUGCUAGGUUUUUCUUAGGCGGGAAAUAAAUUUUGACCAUUUAAACAUACACAGGUCCACUGGUUACUAAUAUUUAUCUCAUACAGAUAUCAUUACUUUUAUUUUUAUUUAUUUUUUUGAGACAAAGUCUUGCUCUGUCACCCAGUCCUCCCUCACCUAAUUUAUUUGAAACCCUAUGAUAUAAAACAGAUUAAAGAAGAGCUGCUCAGCUUAAAGCACAAGUAGGAAUCAGAACCCUUUUUACUCUUUUUUUCUCCCUGUCUGCUUGAGCCAUCUUUUCCUACUCUCAAUCCUUGAGGAACAUAAAAAAUACAUAAUUUGAAAAGAACUGAUUCUGUUUAUCAAUAGGGAAAAAAUAAUUUCAUUUAUUUUAUCCAUACUAAGUUUAUCUCUUUUUGCUGAAAAAGGUAUAUUAAUAUUAAUGUCCAUAUUAAAUAUGAACAUUAGCCAGGCAUCGUGGCACGCUCCUGUAGUCCCAGCU